UGUCGUCAGCUCGUGUUGUGAAAUGUUGGGUUAAGUCCCGCAACGAGCGCAACCCUUAUCCUUUGUUGCCAGCGGUCCGGCCGGGAACUCAAAGGAGACUGCCAGUGAUAAACUGGAGGAAGGUGGGGAUGACGUCAAGUCAUCAUGGCCCUUACGACCAGGGCUACACACGUGCUACAAUGGCGCAUACAAAGAGAAGCGACCUCGCGAGAGCAAGCGGACCUCAUAAAGUGCGUCGUAGUCCGGAUUGGAGUCUGCAACUCGACUCCAUGAAGUCGGAAUCGCUAGUAAUCGUGGAUC
This 300-nucleotide ribosomal RNA is filed under the name Escherichia coli. Its description in RNAcentral is "bacterial SSU rRNA". It matches the Rfam family "Bacterial small subunit ribosomal RNA", at positions 1050 to 1350 of the family's 1533-position model. Lineage: Bacteria; Pseudomonadati; Pseudomonadota; Gammaproteobacteria; Enterobacterales; Enterobacteriaceae. The record is from RNAcentral.